Molecule: ribosomal RNA, 254 nt
Filed under: uncultured bacterium
Lineage: Bacteria
Description: partial 16S ribosomal RNA
Rfam family: Bacterial small subunit ribosomal RNA
Source: RNAcentral
UACGUAGGGUGCAAGCGUUAAUCGGAAUUACUGGGCGUAAAGGGCGCGUAGGCGGUCAGCACAAGUCAGUUGUGAAAUCUCCGGGCUUAACUCGGAAAGGUCAACUGAUACUGUGCGACUAGAGUGCAGAAGGGGCAACUGGAAUUCUCGGUGUAGCGGUGAAAUGCGUAGAUAUCGAGAGGAACACCUGCGGCGAAGGCGGGUUGCUGGGCUGGCACUGACGCUGAGGCGCGAAAGCCAGGGGAGCAAACGGG